Molecule: long non-coding RNA, 6823 nt
Filed under: Bemisia tabaci
Lineage: Eukaryota; Metazoa; Arthropoda; Insecta; Hemiptera; Aleyrodidae
Description: lncRNA ENSSSA1UGG008120
Source: RNAcentral
AUGUUCUUCAAAAAUGCCAAGAAAAAAUUGAUGGCAAAGAGGCAAAUUUUUCAGUUAAUCAAAAGGAGAAGUAAGUCGCCUAUGUCUUGUCCACAACCUAGUGAUGCGAAGUGGGAGAAAAUGCAUGCUAGCAUGAACCAUGAGGGAAGAAAUGGGCCAAUCGACAAAAACCUGGGAAAGGACUCCAAAAAUGAGCUACAAGCCCUUCAAAAUCAGGGAGGCAACAAAAUUGUCUCUGAAAAAGAGCUAGACAUCAAGAUUUACAAUGAAAAAACUAAAAAGAAUGACCAGUUUGACGAGGAACCCAUCAGUAAAUCGCCCAGUAAAAUUAUAAAUAAGUUAAGCGGCAGUAGUAUCAUAAUCGUGUAUGAAAAUAGUUUAGGUACCAAAACUAGUUCCAGAACGAGUCAGCUUGAGGUUCAAGGGUCAGGCAGUAGUGUCAGAAUUUUGUCCAACCUGGCGAACCAUCGACACUGCAGUGGCGAUGUAAGUUGCACUGGAUUAAAUCUCACCUCCAGCUCAUCCAGUAAAAGUUUGGACGCAGAAAUUCACAAUAACCUCCAAUCAUCACCCAAAAAUCAUGAGAAGAAGAUUGUGAUCCAGUGUUGUAGAUCAAAAAAAGGCAAAGACAAGCAUAGUAGACAUGAGCGGAAGAAACAGAAAACAAGGAUGAAACUCAUACCGCCGGAAGAGUUAUCAGAGCCGAAGUGUGUGAAAAUUGUAAAAAGAGCUAUCACUAGUGACGCAGAUUUGAUGCACGAUCUGAGUAACAUGAUGACAGGGGGCAGAUUAAUGCAAACUUUGAACUCUUUCCUCGGGGCUGACCAAUCUAACUAUGUCGAAAUAAUUCAGAGAGUGAAUGGCUUGAAGCAGCACAAAAUUUUGCUCUUUAAGCGUCAGAUAGAAAAAUGCAAAAAAUGUAAGGAGGAAGAGUUUUGUGGGACUGUCAAUUUGAAGCCAGAAAGUAACAUCGUAAGAUUAACCGUUAAAAGGACCGAUAAAAAUACUGAAAGAACCACUGAGGAUUCCUCUAUAAAAUCCACAGAUUUUAAUCCCUUACAUUUGUCUGAAAAAAACUAUCCGACUGGUGAUGCUAAUGAACUUAACACUAAUGGAAGAAAACCUCCUCAACUAAAAAACCUAAUUUCUCGAGCCAGUGAUAUCAAUGUUCUUGUGGCGUCAACCUUGAAUGAGCUCACAGGAGGUCUAAAUGCCCAAAGCAAUUAUACAAAAUCAGAAAGACACGAAAGCUCAAGUAACAAUGCCUCAGCCGAGAUCCUGGGAGGUAUUUCUAACAUCAAGGAGAGUAUCCGUGACAUUAGCUGUGAAAAAAGCAUUGUACGAAACUCAGAAUCAGACAGUAAGAGCAUGAAAACCGGGUACUAUAAUUUGAAAAAAUCCUACGCUGCUUCAAUUACCUUACAGAAACUGGCCAGUGUGGAGAGUUUUCAACGGAUAGCAGCGAGUCCAAAACAUUCUAGAGUCCUAACCUCCGUAAGGUCAAAGAUGGACGUAAAAGAGGAAAUUGUAAGUGUCACUACAUCAGAGGAGAGUAUGGUAAGCUCAGGUCAAAGUUUGAAGAAAACCUCGAGGCUCAUCGAUGCAGAGAAACAUUCCUAUGUAGAGAAGAAUAAUGAUUAUUUAAAAUUAGACUUUAUGAAUUUUAAUUUCAACAAACAGUUGGAUACACUAAUAGCCCCCACUCCAAAAUGCUUCAAACAUGGAAAGCAGCAAAAAGAGCGGCUUGGAAGCGUUGAAGAUGUGAAGAGAAAGAAAAAAGCUGCCUUUUGGGGUAGAAAAUUUAUUCAUUUAUCAGCCCCUCCUUGUAGAAUGAAAAAAUCAAACCACCGCCAUUGUCAUAAACUGGUUUAAAUGCUCUUGUCUAAACACCCUAGGCUGCAAGCAAAUCAUGAAAGAAGAAUUAAAAAAAUGAUUAAGCUAAGUCUGUUUUAAUUUGUUUUUUUGUUCCUCAGCAACCUAAAAUCCUAUUUAUGUAAUCAACUUAAUAGAUUUCAUGGUAAAUUUCAGUAAAACUCAUAUUUUAGGACUCGGGUGCAAACACGACACAUCUCUGUUACGGCGUAUUAGAAUCGACACCAAUGUGUUUUUCUUCUUUUUUUGUGUGAAGAAACUACUGGAUAACUGAACUUGAGAUUUACGCUCAAGGUAUCAUUAAAUAGAUCGUAUUCAGGAAAAAGGAACCAGCGUGAUUACAAUGUUUUAAAAAUCAUGCAACUUCUUCUUUCCUUUUAACAAUGCUUAAUAUAUGCACUGUAUUAAAAUCUACACAGUUAGUUUCCUUUGAAAUUAACAAAUUUUUGGUCGGAAGCAAAAACUAUUUGCUAUUCUUGGAGAUUUUUUGGAUAAUUAUGAAGAAGCAACAUUUUUACAACACAGUAAUUACGCUGGUUCCUUUCUGCUAAAUGGGAUCCAAAUUAUGAAGAAUAUAUAUUGUCAAGUUCGCAUUCUCCACAAGCAUUUUUUUCUCUGUUAAGACACAAAAUGUCAAAGAAAAAUCUGAAAUACUGAAACCAAGAAGUGCCCUUUUUGCUCACUAGUUAUUAAUUGCAAUAUUAUUGCCACUACAUAGAGGAGUACCUAUUUUACAAACAUUUUUUAAUAAAAACAUCUGAAAAUGUUUAACUGGAUCGAAGUCAUGACAGUUUGAGUGGGGAAAAAAACUAAUAUCGAGAAUAAGUUAAUUUAAAUUUUUAUUUGUCAUAUUCAGGGCUGUAAAUCGUUGAAUUGGACCACAUUUUGCAAUUAGAAAGCACAAAUUCUGGCUCAGGUUAGAAACAGCGUAUAUACUAUUAGUUUCCCUAUGCAUGUAAAGGUUUUUAUGGAUGAGCUAGAAACUGUAGCUCCUAAUUUCAAAAUGUAGUCCAAUUAUUGUGUGGCUUUGCCCUCUUUCCCAGCACAUAUGGGAACUGUCGUGUUUGCAACUUAUUCUCAAGGAUGCAAGAGUCUUUUUUUCAUUAAAAACUCUAAUUCCUUUUUUCAACUCACCUUCACAAACCUCUCUCUGAUAAAUGUGCCUCAGUGCUGUAAAGUCCCUUUAAACUUUAACUCGUGCUCUUCCACAAAUAAAUUGAAGUAUUUUUUACAUGUUGUCAAAUUUUUUCUACAGGACACCUGAAGAAUCGUUGCCUGCAUGGAGCGGAGGCAAGAAUCUUGAUCGCGUUGUUCCAGUAUUUCUUUCUUACAUUUUAUUUAUUUAUUCAUUUUUUUGAAGACAAUUGAAUGAAUGUCUCUGGAAUUUCUUGUAACUCUCCUUUAUCUUCAGGAGAAAGACAUCUAACAUUUUCAGACUUUUUGCAAUACUGCCGUGCUAAGGAAGAACGCUGUAUGAACAUUUGAGAAUUGCCAAAUUUUCUUUCAUAAAAUGUUUAUUUUUAAGGAAUGUUAUGAAUAUUUUUCCUUCAAAUUUUCAGAAGCUGUAGAUAAAAUUGCGAACAAAAUUAUCUAAAAAAUUGGUGGGAAAAUAUUCAUGAUAUUCUCCAAAAAUAAUCAUUUUAUCGAAGGAAAUUUGGCAAUGCCUGAAGGUUCAUACGGCGUUUUUCCUUAGCAUGGCAGAAUAGUCCUCCUAUAUAUAAUGAAAUAUUCAUAGAAAUACUGGAACAGCGCUACAGGCUGAUUAUUGAAAUUUAGAGACAAGUGAGACGAAAGGAUAACGCAAUGAACAAUUGGUCGAAACAGGUGGCUGUUUUAAAUCAAAGAAGGAAAUGAUGGACUGACUGUAGGGUCCCUUGUGAAUUGCCGGUAAUCAGACUUUCAUUUACCUCCUUAUUGAUUCUAGCCACCCACUUUCACUACUAGGAUCUCUCUGCUUUCAAUUUCUCUUCUUUGUCUACCAAUUUCAAUAAUCAGGUCGCAGGCAAGGGCAAGGUAUGUUUAUCCUUGCGUACGGGAUGCGAUGAAGUCUCUAAUGGAGGGGUGUGAAAAGUUCAGGAUCACAAAUUAAGUUUAAUAGGAAGUUCUCUGGAAUGUCAAAAUAGUGUGGAUGCAAUCCAGCAGAUUAAUAAUUCCUAAAAAUUAAAUUGAAUCAAAUAGGAAGUCAUCUAUCUCGCAAGCAAAUUUUGCUGGAUGAAUGGAGAUUUCUUCUGCAGUAAACAUGAAAUAAAUGAACGGUUUGUGUUAAUAUCAGAAUGAUUCUAUUGGCUUAGGCGCAUAAUUUUAUCAGAAUCAAAAGAUUUACACGUUUUUAUCAGUGGUUUAGUUUUUAAAGCACAACUCAUCAACAUUCUCAAUUUGGAAUUUUUGAAUAAUACAAACAGAUUUUGCUGUUGGAGAAAAAAAAUGAAUAAAUAAAUUCCUCUCUAAUUAGUUUUAAAGUUGAGCAGACUUUUAAUUUCAUUGGGCAGUCAAAGCCCCACAAAUGAAAUCAAUUCUAAUUCAAGGAAGCAUGUUCUAACUUUUUCUAGGGUGAAACUUAGAAACAGCUAUAUCCUCGAUUCAUCCGGUAAUAUUUCUCCUCUUUUAAAUCAAGUUAUGAAAUGCGUAGACUUCUAAUCACAUGGGACCUGAGAAGCAUCAUAAACGUAAAGAAUAUAUCGAGUUCAAGCUUCACGCCAUCGCGCCUUCAAUUUUGCAGAUGCAACACGGACAUCCAUCGAGUACGAAUGGUCGUAUGUCUGUGCCGUCAUCACCUCGCGUCCUUUCUCUUGCCCCAUUCCUAAUGUUAAGUUGGUUCCGUUUGUCUCAUUUGUGGUGGUGUCAAGAGCUAUGUGAGCAACACAGCCGAAGAUAGAAAAGACGUGAUCGGGCCUUAAUUUUUAACUUUUCUCUCGAACCUGAGCGACAGCGCCUUUACAAAAUAGAGCUGAGUAUUGCGAGUUCACGCCUCACGUCAUCGCGCCUUCAAUUUUUCAUAAUGCAACACGGACAUUCAUCAAGCACGAAUAGUUGUAUCUUUACGCUGUCAACGCAAAGUGCCUCUUAUCUUUGGAAUUUGAGAAAAGUUAAGGUUCAGUCCGCUCAAAAUCAUGGGCGUAGCUCGGGGGGUCCUUGGGGGGGCCUCCAGAAAUCUCGUGCCCCCCUCCCCCCAGAAAAACGGAGACACAAACUCGGACAACAUGCUUUCUUCUUUGUGCUAUGCAUUCAUACGUGACUGUUGUUUUUUUCGAGUGAAUAAAGUCUAAAGAUAAAGAACCAACUUGAUUACGAAGUCUGUGCUAUUACUUCCUGACCCAAAUCAUCCCUCUAAGUAUUCUACAUAAAUGAAAUGUCAUGAAAAACAUGUUUAUUUCACACUCUAAAGACGUUUAAUUUCAAAACAAAUCCGGUGGCGGGGGGGGGGAGGCGCUACCUCUUAAACUUGGGAUCCUCCAUUCCUCACCUCCCCCCCGCUCUCUUCACCACGAAAGGUGGUCCCAUGCCCCCCCCCCCUUCCCAGAGAAAUUUCCUAGCUACGCCUUUGCUCAAAAUAUGCUUUGAUGUGUCCAAAUCAAAGAAUAUUUUGAAAGAGGAAGAAGAGAUUAAAAACAUGUGUGAAGGUCUUUUAAGCGCUCUGAAGGGUGCACGUCAAGAAAUUGGUAUUUUGGCGAGAGUUAGGUAUGUCGUGUCAGGGAAUUUGUUUUUGACGACUACCCCUAGAAAUCCCAUGUCGGGUCAAAUUGACCCGACUUUCUCUUCUGAAGGGAAGGGGGUGAGAAAGCGCCUGUAAAUUAGGUACCAAACAAGUGAAAGUUUUAAAAAAAAUUAUUUUUUACAUAGUCAUAAUAAAAUAGGCUUUACCCAGGUACCUAAAAAGCCAUUAUAAUCAUGUGUCUAGUUACAAAUGUCCAAAUAGACUAAGAAAUGAAAUUGGAAGGUUUUGACGACAUCGCAUUUGCAUAAAAGAUUUUUUUUCUUCAUUUACGUGUCCAAGACAUGCAUCUCUGUUUUCUAGGCAUAUUCGUAAAGCUAAUUCCUGUUCUGUGCAAUCAUUCCCUCCCUUAGCAGUUUGAAAGAAUGACUCUGCAAAUAAUCAAUAUUUGCUUCUCCCUCAUACUGCAAAUACUGAUGAACAACAAAUAUUUACCUACCAUCAAACCUGCUCCGUUACAGCGCAAGUCUCGGUUGUCAAACAUGACAUAAGGCACCAAUUUUUCAAACUUAGACUCAAACGAAUCUUCGAGCGCCAAAGCACAAUGAAGCAAAUUUGUAGAAGAUGGCAGAAAAAUUGUUUCUUGAAAACUCAGAAACUUUCCUCCUAGAAUUUUACGGAGAACGUUAUCCUUGAUGCCUUUUAAUAUAAGUGCGUGUUAUGCACUGUCCAUUUUGCAGAAAAAUAUCUACAACUUUUCUGAGGAGAUUUGUCACUACUUAAAUGCUGGCACGGCGUUUUUCUUUAGUACCUACAGCGGAAUAAUUAGUGAGUGCAAGAGAAUAAAGUAGAAGGUUUGAAACAUUUUAAGUAACUCUAAUCCCACAUCGAUAGGUAACAUCCAAUGCAGUGAUCAUGAAUCGGUGAACCUCGAUUUCACAUUACGAUUAAUUACAAGAAAAGUUUAAAAGAGUCGCUACUGCGAACAGAAAGGGUGAAAAACGUCACCACUUGACGUGAAAGUUGCAUUUGGCAACCUGUAUCCAUAGUGUUUGCAUUGAGAGUUGCAUACCCAGACAGGGACACUAGUGCAAAGGUCUUCUUUCGAACCGGUGUUGAGACGUUUCUCCAGGGUGCAUCUUGUUCGAACGUCUGCUAGAAUGAAUCUCCGUUAUUUCUCAACCGUCUUAUUUUUGGGCUUUUUUGUGAAAGUGAUUAGUUGGCCCAUAACGCUCCUGACUGAUGUGCUCCGCCAAAGCAACACUCACCACGUGAGCAUAUUCUCCUGCUCCGAGUAUG